AUGAGCGUGAGAUGGCCAAGGGCGAGUAAAUAGAUCUGAGGGCUUUGUUAUUCCUGUAUCUCUUGCAUAAAGAAUUUUGCAAAAGGGACACAGACUGACUUGGGAAAAUUAAUGCAGCCAAGCUUGAGCUGUUUUUUUGGAGUGUUUCUGGUCUUCGGCUGGAUCGUGCUGUGAGCUUUAUCUAAUGUAAAGGCAAAGCGGGAACUUGGGAGGUUUCUUUGAUAGAGAGGCAGCUGAGAGAAAGUUGGUGACCGCUGACCAGAGGCACCACAGAGCUCCAGCAGUCCAGGGCAGGGUGACAGGAGACAACACGCCAAGGGGAGGAAGGGGAGUCGCUCAUCUGUGUCUGCACCCAGGACAGCUCCCGUGGUGGCCGUUCUAAGGUGUCCCCGUGGGCUCUAAGAAAUAUCUGUUGCAUGAACAGGUAGGCAAACAUUAAUGACUUAAUGAUUUCCAAGGGAAGUUGUAUA
RNAcentral lists this long non-coding RNA (470 nucleotides) under Fukomys damarensis (Damara mole-rat). Its description in RNAcentral is "lncRNA (ENSFDAG00000027269.1)". Lineage: Eukaryota; Metazoa; Chordata; Mammalia; Rodentia; Bathyergidae. The record is from RNAcentral.